AUUCCCCUAGUAACUGCGAGUGAAGCGGGAAAAGCUCAAAUUUGAAAUCUGGCAGUCUUUGGCCGUCCGAGUUGUAAUCUAGAGAAGUGUUACCCGUGCUGGACCGUGUACAAGUCUCCUGGAAUGGAGCGUCAUAGAGGGUGAGAAUCCCGUCUCUGACACGGACUACCAGGGCUUUGUGGUAUGCUCUCAAAGAGUCGAGUUGUUUGGGAAUGCAGCUCAAAAUGGGUGGUAAAUUCCAUCUAAAGCUAAAUAUUGGCGAGAGACCGAUAGCGAACAAGUACCGUGAGGGAAAGAUGAAAAGAACUUUGGAAAGAGAGUUAAACAGUACGUGAAAUUGCUGAAAGGGAAACGCUUGAAGUCAGUCACAUUGACCAGGGAUCAGCCUUGCCUUUUCGCAUGGUGUACUUUCUGGUUGAUGGGUCAGCAUCAAUUUCGACCGCUGGAAAAAGGCUUGGGGAAUGUGACAGCUCUGGCUGUGUUAUAGACCCUUGUCAUAUACAGCGGUUGGGAUUGAGGAACGCAGCACGCCGCAAGGCCGGGUUUCGACCACGUUCGUGCUUAGGAUGCUGGCAUAAUGGCUUUAAGCGACCCGUCUUGAAACACGGACCAAGGAGUCUAACAUGCCUGCGAGUGUUUGGGUGGAAAACCCAAGCGCGUAAUGAAAGUGAAAGUUGAGAUCCCUGUCGUGGGGAGCAUCGACGCCCGGACCAGAACUUUUGGGACGGAUCUGCGGUAGAGCAUGUAUGUUGGGACCCGAAAGAUGGUGAACUAUGCCUGAAUAGGGUGAAGCCAGAGGAAACUCUGGUGGAGGCUCGUAGCGAUUCUGACGUGCAAAUCGAUCGUCAAAUUUGGGUAUAGGGGCGAAA
This 869-nucleotide ribosomal RNA is filed under the name Thaxterogaster sp. ID79. RNAcentral describes it as "eukaryotic LSU rRNA". It matches the Rfam family "Eukaryotic large subunit ribosomal RNA", at positions 74 to 928 of the family's 3401-position model. Lineage: Eukaryota; Fungi; Basidiomycota; Agaricomycetes; Agaricales; Cortinariaceae. The record is from RNAcentral.